This 871-nucleotide ribosomal RNA is filed under the name uncultured archaeon. Its description in RNAcentral is "bacterial SSU rRNA". It matches the Rfam family "Archaeal small subunit ribosomal RNA", at positions 1 to 878 of the family's 1478-position model. The record is from RNAcentral.
UUCGGGGUUGAUUCCCGCCGGGACCGGACUGCUAUCAGAGGGGGACUAAGCCAUUUUAGUCGACGUAGCAAUGCGUGGCGAACGGCUCAGUAACACGUAGUCAACAUGCCCAGGGGACGUGGAUAACCUCGGGAAACUGAGGAUAAACCACGAUAGGUCACGAUUUCUGGAAUGGAUCAUGGCCUAAAUCUACAUGGCCCCUGGAUUGGACUGCGGCCGAUCAGGCUGUUGGUGAGGUAAUGGCCCACCAAACCUAUAACCGGUACGGGCUCUGAGAGGAGAAGCCCGGAGAUGGGCACUGAGACAAGGGCCCAGGCCCUAUGGGGCGCAGCAGGCGCGAAACCUCUGCAAUAGGCGAAAGCCUGACAGGGUUACUCUGAGUGAUUUCCGCUAAGGGGAUCUUUUGGCACCUCUAAAAAUGGUGCAGAAUAAGGGGUGGGCAAGUCUGGUGUCAGCCGCCGCGGUAAUACCAGCACCCCGAGUGGUCGGGACGAUUAUUGGGCCUAAAGCAUCCGUAGCCGGUUCUGCAAGUCUUCCGUUAAAUCCAGCCGCUCAACGGAUGGGCCGCGGAGGAUACUACAGGACUAGGAGGCGGGAGAGGCAAGCGGUACUCAGUGGGUAGGGGUAAAAUCCUUUGAUCCAUUGAAGACCACCAGUGGCGAAGGCGGCUUGCCAGAACGCGCUCGACGGUGAGGGAUGAAAGCUGGGGGAGCAAACCGGAUUAGAUACCCGGGUAGUCCCAGCUGUAAACGAUGCAGACUCGGUGAUGGGCUAGCCUUGUGCCAGCCCAGUGCCGCAGGGAAGCCGUUAAGUCUGCCGCAUGGGGCGUACGGUCGCAAGACUGAAACUUAAAGGAAUAAACGGGGGAGCA